RNAcentral lists this small RNA (27 nucleotides) under Bombyx mori (domestic silkworm). RNAcentral describes it as "ovarian small RNA-3841". The record is from RNAcentral. Lineage: Eukaryota; Metazoa; Arthropoda; Insecta; Lepidoptera; Bombycidae.
UGGUAAUCAGUGAGCCAAGGUAUGGGA